UCGAAAUUUCUUUUCUCUCCCGCCGCCGCCCAUCCAUUUCCUUCUUCUUCUUCUCCCUUCCUCGCCCGUCACCGCCAGCCAUCUCUCCCUUCGUUUUCUCCUUCUCCUUCGUGCUCUUCUCCAUCUCAGCCACCAUCACCCAUCGUCUCCAUCUCCGUCGGCGUGUGUAGGUUCACCGGUCGUCGUCCGCCGCGGCUCCCCAUCCAUUUCCGAUUUCCUUCUCGGCCUCACACAACGGCAGAUCUGCCGCCGCUCAUCGCCGCUCCACGAAACAGCCAGCUCCGUUCCUCGUGCUUCGUCCGCGAAGCGCCGCCGCCGUUGUUCGCCGGAAGAAAGGAUCACCGAAACCGCGGCUACCAUUUUCUUCGUCCAACCCGACCCGGCUCCAAGUCGGCUGUCCAAGCCGAGCCGAGAUCGCUGCCAAGCCGAGCCACAAUCCCUGUUCAAGCCGAGCCGCCAGCCGCUUCAAGCCGAGCCGCCAGCCGCUUCAAGCCGAGCCGCCAGCCGCCAGCCGCUUCAAGCCGAGCCGCCAGCCGCUUCAAGCCGAGCCGUGAGCCGAGUGAGCCGAGCCGCGAGCCGAGUGAGCCGAGGCGCGAGCCGAGUGAGCCGAGCCGCGAGCCGAACCAAGCCGAGCCGAGCCGAGCCGAGCCGAGCCACCUAAGCCUUCUUUCCUCCACUUCGGUUCACGGUGAGUCUUCGGUAAGGAUUGUUUUGAUGAAUUCCCUAAUGUUACCUCGUCCGAUUCGAGUUUGAAUGUUGGAUUAAGAUAUGGCCCUACUUUUCUCCCUUGAAGGUAGUGCAGAGUUGACGCUUAAGUUCUCGGGUUCCGCGGCAGACCUAGUUGGAGUUAGCUUCCUUUCCUUGGAUCUGUCGAGCGCGGUUUUCGAUCGAGGGGUAUAACCGAGUUUCAGGUAAGGGUUUUCCUACUACUGGACCCCGAGUCCAGGCUAAGACCGUAGUAAUCCACAGGGGAUUACACGUUAGUGACUGUACUGAAUAUCUGUAUGCGUGUUGACUGUUAAGUACUGAUAUUAUUUUCGGUCUGAUGAAAAUAUACUGUGACUGCUGUUGUGGAUUGAAAUUAUAUGUUGAUGGACCUUAAAGUUACGGUUAGUAUGUAUUAAACUCUGGUCUGGAUGUGGUUCAUGGAGUUUGGAUGGGGAAAGACAGUGAGUCCGGUUUUGGUUGAUUAGUCGAUUGGGCCUAGGGUUUCCCUAUUGGUGUACGAAUCGGUAAUGCAUAUAGCAACUGAGGGUGUAGAUGUUUAGACCUAUACUAUCUGACUGACAAAGCCUAUGGCGGAACUGUAAUAGGAAUGCCGUUGUGAUGUGACUGAUGUAGAUAGUUUGGUAAGGGCUGAGGGGUAACGGUUAGCUUCAUCUAUGGGGUAGUGUACCUUACUGAUGUGUGCAUCCUUCGGGAGCACUAGACUGAUAUGUGCAUCCUUCGGGAGCACUAGACCGAUAUGUGCAUCCUUCGGGAGCACUAGACUGAUAUGUGCAUCCUUCGGGAGCACUAGACUGAUAUGUGCGUCCUUCGGGAGCACUAGACUGAUAUGUGCAUCCUUCGGGAGCACUAGACUGAUAUGUGCGUUCUACGGAACCACUAGACUGUUAUGUAGGGUACCCCCGAAUAGGAAGUUAACUGUUGUUCCCUAACGGGCCCAGUAGUGGGUCCCUUACUGGGUAUGUUUAUACUCACCCUUUCUCUUCUUUAACUUUCAGGUAGGGUUACAGCGAGGGGCAGACCGACGAGAGGCAGGAAGGAUGCGUGAAGGCCAUAUGGACGCGUCCGUUUUUCUUUCGCUUCCGCUAUGUUUUUUGUCAGAAUAUUUUGAUUGUGAUUUUUGGACUGGUGACUUGACAUUUUAUUUUGUGACUUUUUGAGUUAUUAAAAAUAGGGCCCGAAACUGUCUUUUGUAA
RNA transcript from Cucumis melo (muskmelon), 1922 nucleotides. RefSeq lists it as uncharacterized. The transcript is spliced from 2 exons. Lineage: Eukaryota; Viridiplantae; Streptophyta; Magnoliopsida; Cucurbitales; Cucurbitaceae. The record is from RefSeq and is a predicted model, not a curated record.